This 387-nucleotide ribosomal RNA is filed under the name uncultured alga. Its description in RNAcentral is "bacterial LSU rRNA". It matches the Rfam family "Bacterial large subunit ribosomal RNA", at positions 2098 to 2465 of the family's 2925-position model. The record is from RNAcentral.
CCUUUACUAUAGCUUCGCCUUGGCGUUAGCGACCGUAUGUGUAGGAUAGGUGGGGAGGCUAUGAAAACCGGGGGCCGCCAGCUCUGGUGGAGCCAUCCCUUGGAAAUACCACCCUUACUGUCGUUGACGUCUAACCGAGGGGCCGUUAUCCGGUCCCCGGGGACAUGGCGUGGUGGGUAGUUUGACUGGGGGCGGUCGCCUCCUAAAGUGUAACGGAGGCGCGCGGAUGGUGGGCUCAGACCGGUCGGAAAUCGGUCGUCGAGUGGCAAUGGCAUAAGCCCGCCUGACUGCGAGACUGACAAGUCGAGCAGAGACGAAAGUCGGGCCAUAGUGGAUCCGGUGGUCCCCGCGUGGGAAGGGCCCAUCCGCUCAACGGAUAAAAAGGUA